Molecule: ribosomal RNA, 252 nt
Filed under: uncultured microorganism
Description: partial 16S ribosomal RNA
Rfam family: Bacterial small subunit ribosomal RNA
Source: RNAcentral
UACGUAGGUCCCGAGCGUUGUCCGGAUUUAUUGGGCGUAAAGCGAGCGCAGGUGGUUUAAUAAGUCUGAUGUAAAAGGCAGUGGCUCAACCAUUGUGUGCAUUGGAAACUGUUAGACUUGAGUGCAGUAGAGGAGAGUGGAAUUCCAUGUGUAGCGGUGAAAUGCGUAGAGAUGUGGAGGAACACCAGUGGCGAAAGCGGCUCUCUGGACUGUAACUGACACUGAGGCUCGAAAGCGUGGGUAGCAAACAGG